RNAcentral lists this ribosomal RNA (491 nucleotides) under uncultured bacterium. RNAcentral describes it as "partial 16S ribosomal RNA". It matches the Rfam family "Bacterial small subunit ribosomal RNA", at positions 29 to 506 of the family's 1533-position model. The record is from RNAcentral.
AGUGAACGCUGGCGGUAGGCCUAACACAUGCAAGUCGAACGGCAGCACAGUAAGAGCUUGCUCUUACGGGUGGCGAGUGGCGGACGGGUGGGGAAUACAUCGGAAUCUACUUUUUCGUGGGGGAUAACGUAGGGAAACUUACGCUAAUACCGCAUACGACCUACGGGUGAAAGCAGGGGAUCUUCGGACCUUGCGCGAUUGAAUGAGCCGAUGUCGGAUUAGCUAGUUGGCGGGGUAAAGGCCCACCAAGGCGACGAUCCGUAGCUGGUCUGAGAGGAUGAUCAGCCACACUGGAACUGAGACACGGUCCAGACUCCUACGGGAGGCAGCAGUGGGGAAUAUUGGAAAAUGGGCGCAAGCCUGAUCCAGCCAUACCGCGUGGGUGAAGAAGGCCUUCGGGUUGUAAAGCCCUUUUGUUGGGAAAGAAAAGCAGCAGGUUAAUACCCCGCUGUUCUGACGGUACCCAAAGAAUAAGCACCGGCUAACUUCGU